CCUGGUGUCCCAGGUCUAAAUCAGGCCCUGAUUAGAGGGGAAUCACCCACCUGGUGUCCCAGGUCUAAAUCAGGCCCUGAUUAGAGGGGGAAUCACCCACCUGGUGUCCCAGGUCUAAAUCAGGCCCUGAUUAGAGGGGGAAUCACCCACCUGGUGUCCCAGGUCUAAAUCAGGCCCUGAUUAGAGGGGGAAUCACCCACCUGGUGUCCCAGGUCUAAAUCAGGCCCUGAUUAGAGGGGGAAUCACCCACCUGGUGUCCCAGGUCUAAAUCAGGCCCUGAUUAGAGGGGGAAUCACCCACCUGGUGUCCCAGGUCUAAAUCAGGCCCUGAUUAGAGGGGGAAUCACCCACCUGGUGUCCCAGGUCUAAAUCAGGCCCUGAUUAGAGGGGGAAUCACCCACCUGGUGUCCCAGGUCUAAAUCAGGCCCUGAUUAGAGGGGGAAUCACCCACCUGGUGUCCCAGGUCUAAAUCAGGCCCUGAUUAGAGGGGGAAUCACCCACCUGGUGUCCCAGGUCUAAAUCAGGCCCUGAUUAGAGGGGGAAUCACCCACCUGGUGUCCCAGGUCUAAAUCAGGCCCUGAUUAGAGGGGGAAUCACCCACCUGGUGUCCCAGGUCUAAAUCAGGCCCUGAUUAGAGGGGGAGUCACCCACCUGGUGUCCCAGGUCUAAAUCAGGCCCUGAUUAGAGGGGAAUCACCCACCUGGUGUCCCAGGUCUAAAUCAGGCCCUGAUUAGAUGGGGAAUCACCCACCUGGUGUCCCAGGUCUAAAUCAGGCCCUGAUUAGAGGGGGAAUCACCCACCUGGUGUCCCAGGUCUAAAUCAGGCCCUGAUUAGAGGGGGAAUCACCCACCUGGUGUCCCAGGUCUAAAUCAGGCCCUGAUUAGAUGG
Oncorhynchus keta (chum salmon) is the source of this 887-nucleotide long non-coding RNA. RefSeq lists it as uncharacterized. The record is from RefSeq and is a predicted model, not a curated record. The transcript has 4 exons. NCBI's taxonomy places the organism in Eukaryota, Metazoa, Chordata, Actinopteri, Salmoniformes, Salmonidae.